AGCGAACGCUGGCGGCAUGCUUAACGCAUGCAAGUCGCACGGGCGGGGGCAACUCCGUCAGUGGCGGACGGGUGAGUAACGCGUAGGAAUCUAUCCUUGGAAUGGGGGACAACCGUGGGAAACUACGGCUAAUACCGCAUGAUGCCUGAGGGCCAAAGACGAAAGUCGUUUGAGGAGGAGCCUGCGUCUGAUUAGGUAGUUGGUGGGGUAAAGGCCUACCCAAGCCUACGAUCAGUAGCUGGUCUGAGAGGAUGAUCAGCCACAUUGGGACUGAGACACGGCCCAAACUCCUACGGGAGGCAGCAGUGGGGAAUAUUGGACAAUGGGCGCAAGCCUGAUCCAGCAAUGCCGCGUGGGUGAAGAAGGUCUUCGGAUUGUAAAGCCCUUUUGGCGGGGACGAUGAUGACGGUACCCGCAGAAUAAGCUCCGGCUAACUUCGUG
RNAcentral lists this ribosomal RNA (441 nucleotides) under uncultured bacterium. Its description in RNAcentral is "bacterial SSU rRNA". It matches the Rfam family "Bacterial small subunit ribosomal RNA", at positions 29 to 507 of the family's 1533-position model. The record is from RNAcentral.